This 390-nucleotide ribosomal RNA is filed under the name Triticum aestivum (bread wheat). RNAcentral describes it as "partial small subunit ribosomal RNA". Lineage: Eukaryota; Viridiplantae; Streptophyta; Magnoliopsida; Poales; Poaceae. The record is from RNAcentral.
AUGGUGGUGACUUGUGCCCAAUCUAGAACGUGGGGAGGAGAAAAGCGAAGGGGAGGAGAAGAGGCACUGCUCCCCUCCUCCUGUCGAGUCCUCCUCGAGGGCGAGCUCCUCCUGCGAGGCCGGAUCAAGGCCGACGGGCGCCGGCAGAGCACGGCCCGGCCGAGGCUGAGGCGGCGGCGGCGGCAGGAGGGGAGGUGGAGGCGGCGGCGGCAAGAGAGAGAGGAGGCGGCUGCGGGGCGCGGGCUAGGUCUGGCUGCUUUUACUUUUUUCUCUCGCGGCGGCUUCCCUUUUUCUUUUCUCUCGUGCCCGCUCGCCCAGGUCGCCCGCUCGCUCGCUGCUCUCUCUGAGCCGGGCACCCAGGAGACCGACAAAUGGGCCCGAUGCGGCUAA